GAGUUUGAUCGUGGCUCAGAUUGAACGCUGGCGGCAUGCCUUACACAUGCAAGUCGAACGGCAGCAUGAUCUAGCUUGCUAGAUUGAUGGCGAGUGGCGAACGGGUGAGUAAUACAUCGGAACGUGCCCUGUAGUGGGGAGUAACUAGUCGAAAGAUUAGCUAAUACCGCAUACGACCUGAGGGUGGAAAGUAGGGGGACCGGCAAGGCCUCAUGCUAUAGGAGCGGCCGAUGUCUGAUUAGCUAGUUGGUGGGGU
Molecule: ribosomal RNA, 256 nt
Filed under: uncultured microorganism
Description: partial 16S ribosomal RNA
Rfam family: Bacterial small subunit ribosomal RNA
Source: RNAcentral